UUUGGUUUAGGUUAUAGGUUUUUGGAUUUGAGAAUGGGUUCGGGUUUAGGUUAUAGGUUUUGGUUUUGGUUUAGGUUAUAGGUUAAGGUUUAGGUUUAGGUUUAGGUUUAGGUUAUAGGUUUUGGGAUUUGAGAAUGGGUUCGGGUUUAAGUUAUAGGUUUUGAGAUUUGAGAAUGGGUUCGGGUUUAGGUUAUAGGUUUUGGUUUUGGUUUAAGUUAUAGGUUUUGGUUUAGGUUAUAGGUUUUUGGAUUUGAGAAUGGGUUCGGGUUUAGGUUAUAGGUUUUGG
Molecule: long non-coding RNA, 286 nt
Organism: Magnolia sinica
Lineage: Eukaryota; Viridiplantae; Streptophyta; Magnoliopsida; Magnoliales; Magnoliaceae
Exons: 3
Source: RefSeq, a predicted model, not a curated record